CAACGACCACCCAGGGCCGGAAAGUUGGUCAAACCCGGUCAUUUAGAGGAAGUAAAAGUCGUAACAAGGUCUCCGUAGGUGAACCUGCGGAGGGAUCAUU
Molecule: ribosomal RNA, 100 nt
Filed under: Cladosporium cladosporioides
Lineage: Eukaryota; Fungi; Ascomycota; Dothideomycetes; Cladosporiales; Cladosporiaceae
Also listed under: 1 other name
Description: partial 18S ribosomal RNA
Rfam family: Eukaryotic small subunit ribosomal RNA
Source: RNAcentral